GGAGUACAUCGCCGGAGAUCGAACCAGGAGGCUUGGAUCAUCUGGAUCUCUUCUAAACCCUUCCCGAGCCCUUCUCCCUGCGCGUGCCGACCCCUUUAUUCUCCGAUCGACGCCGCUGGAUCAAGCCAGAUCCACCGAUUUGCCGGCAGGAAGAGGCGUUUAGGGCUCCGAGGGUAAGGUUAGGUGGUUGAUUCGAUCGGUGUUUGGAUUGGUGAUCUUUUUGCUUGAUUCAUUGAUUGAGCCGAUUGAUCCAGUGAGAUAGGUUCUGUGAAGGUGAUCUUGGGUCUCCUCUUCCUUGUUGCUAAUUGAGAUUCCGGUUGAAGUGAGGGGAGGUGAGGUUCCAUUCUUGCUGUGGAAUUGUGUUUGGUUCCGGCAGUAACAAUCACCUCAAUCCAGCAUCAACAGUAGGUUCGAUCUGCUCUGUUCUAUUUGUGAACUUUCUGAUUUCGGCAGUAAACCAUCCAGCAACAACAACAACUGGAUUUGAGGUUGAGGCCGUCAGGAGAGAUUCCAGUCGCUAGCCCCG
Long non-coding RNA from Zingiber officinale, 526 nucleotides. RefSeq lists it as uncharacterized. The record is from RefSeq and is a predicted model, not a curated record. The transcript has 4 exons. Lineage: Eukaryota; Viridiplantae; Streptophyta; Magnoliopsida; Zingiberales; Zingiberaceae.